RNAcentral lists this ribosomal RNA (253 nucleotides) under uncultured bacterium. RNAcentral's name for it is "partial 16S ribosomal RNA". It matches the Rfam family "Bacterial small subunit ribosomal RNA", at positions 524 to 776 of the family's 1533-position model. The record is from RNAcentral.
UACGAAGGGGGCUAGCGUUGCUCGGAAUCACUGGGCGUAAAGCGCACGUAGGCGGCUUUCUAAGUCAGGGGUGAAAUCCUGGAGCUCAACUCCAGAACUGCUUUUGAUACUGGAGAGCUCGAGUCCGGAAGAGGUGAGUGGAACUGCGAGUGUAGAGGUGAAAUUCGUAGAUAUUCGCAAGAACACCAGUGGCGAAGGCGGCUCACUGGUCCGGUACUGACGCUGAGGUGCGAAAGCGUGGGGAGCAAACAGG